UGGAAAGUGGCUCAAUGGUAGAGUGCUUGCCUUGCAUGCAUGAGGCCCUGGGUUCAAUUCCUCAGUACCAC
Non-coding RNA from Dipodomys ordii (Ord's kangaroo rat), 71 nucleotides. The record is from Rfam. NCBI's taxonomy places the organism in Eukaryota, Metazoa, Chordata, Mammalia, Rodentia, Heteromyidae.